Non-coding RNA from Zootermopsis nevadensis, 4755 nucleotides. The record is from RefSeq and is a predicted model, not a curated record. NCBI's taxonomy places the organism in Eukaryota, Metazoa, Arthropoda, Insecta, Blattodea, Termopsidae.
AUUCCUGCGAGGAGGACGUAAUUAUGCUACACUUCAGUCUACCCCCAAACGAUCUGUUGGCACUGAAACAGAUGCUUCAGAACUGGACCACUACUCAGAUGAUGAAGCCCCUCUUGCUACACCUAGAGGAUGUGGGGACACAUGGGACUCCACUUCAUGUGCUGAUCACAAGGCUGAAACACUUGGCAUUGGAGAGAGGACACUGUCUCAUAGUAAAUGGGGAGUUGAUAGCUUAGGACCAGAACCUGCAGAAGGGACGGAUGAUGUGAUGACAGAAAUUACGGAGUCAUGUGUGUAAUGUGUGAUGGUGUCUAGUACAUAGGAGUGUGUACAUAGCAAAAAUUGGCAAUAUAGAACAGACACAGUCCUUCAUUCAGUCUCGUACCAUCCCUGCUUCCCAUGUUCUCGAGUGUAUCCUUCAGGUAUGUUGUCCUCUUUGGCAGUUUGCAGUAUUUUUAAGCAUAUAGGCAUUUUGAAAUUUUCUGUGCAUUGGGACAUAUUUGUAGAUAUAAUUUGUAUGUCUCAGGUGGUUUUGUUAUGUGGCAGUUACUCUAAACCGUGCUGUAAGUCUUUUGAGUAUCAUACAAAAACGUUAUCCUUGGAUUUUACUAUAGGUUUCUAUGUUACAUUUUAUUCAGUGUAUGCACCAAUACUUCAUAUAACUUAAAAUGAAAAGAGAAAAAUUUGGUCACUGAUUUUUGGCAGUAACAUUGCAAGAGACAUUUGUUUCAGAGUUGGUAAUGGUUUGGAUCAAGAGCUACUCUUUAACCCAUCCCCCACUCUCCAUUAACAGAAGAUGCCUUAAGCCCAUUCAUUGUAUUGGACUCUCAUGUAUACUUGAUAGUGCCGCAGUAGAUCAAGUAGUCUUACACAGAGCUGUAAAAUAAAUGCAGUUCUUUUUUUAUCUAGCGUUGGAUUUUGGGUGUUAUGAUUUUUGUUAUGCGCUUGUUGCUCCCCCUGGCACAGGGUGGAUGAACGAUACCAUUCCGUCGAUUGAGUUAUAAGAAAGUGUGUGCUAGUCAGAUUUGUUUGAAUCAUUUCCUCCUCCUCCCAAUUCAUAUUGUUACUUGUUGUAUUUACUUAACAUGAGAUGUAGACAACCUCCACAUUCCAUUGUUCCAUAUCCACCUGAAUGCUAGUCUGUACAUAGUUUUGCAUGUUUGUCUUGCUAAGUUGACUUACUGAACCAAAGUCUUAGCACUUAUACAGUCAGAGUUAGGACUUUCUUUCAAGAAGCAGAUUUUCAAAACAGUGGUCUUCAAUCACAGUUGCUUGUCUCUAAUUAAUUUGGAGCAGUAAAAAUAUGUUAUUAUUAGUUUGUUGCAUAACCACCCAUCUCAUUCCUAGCAUAUACUCUUUCAAAGGCAUUCAUGCUUCCUAUCUUGACACCCUUCUGUCAUCAUUAAUGACAGAUGGAAAUUACAAAUGAAACCCCUUGUUUAAAAGUAUCAUGUCACGCAGAAGCAAGAUUCCAGUUAUCUAAUGUCACUCCUACCUUACAAGUUAAUGCAUAUGCCAUGUUCCUAUUACCAGUUGCAGAAAAUUAAAAAAGUUUGAGUUUGGGUUGGCUUCCAUGUGUAUAAUGUCCACACUAAAUUUCAUCAAAAUCUAUUCUACUGUUUUAAAAUUGAAAUGUGAACAGACACACGUGAACAGCCCUGUAUGUAUUCAUUUCAUUGUACAAAGAACACACAGUAACUAAAAGACUGUUAUAACAAAGUGGCCUAUUGGCUCGUCAGGGAAUCAAUUUUCACUUCUCAUAGGAGAGGGCCUUCUUUGGCAAACACUGAGUGUUGCCAUAUUCUGUACUUCUGAGGAAUAUAUGACAUUUCCCCACCCUCUCUUUUAUAAGCAUGAUACAGAUGGAAUCUGAGUAAAUAUUGCGUGUCUGAAACUAAUUUAUUGGAAUUAAGAUUAUUGGCUUAACAGCUGUGCAUGUUAUUGGCUACCAGUUUCUGAAUGAGAAUAAUUUUCAAAAUAUUUUUUGUGUUUUUGCUGUGAAAAUCAUGCAUGAUUAUUAAGGUGUCAUACAACACUGUGUGGAAUAUAGCAUGAUCUUGUUUGCUUCCAGAAGGUGCAUUAGAAACAAUGAUUGACAAAAUUCAGUUUAUAAUUAUAACAGUUUUAAUUGUGCUCAGAUAAGUAGGUCUGAAAGAGGUAAGUCCAUUAUUCUGAAAAUUGCAUUUUAAGAGUGACUGAUAAUUUUAAUUCCUGACAAAAUGUAUUUGAGCUGAUAUAGUGUCAUAUUUUGAAAUGAAUCAAUUUGAAAAUGUUUAAGUAAUAAACAGUACUUGUAAGAUGUCACCUUCUACAGAUUCUGUGGAAAGAUUGAACAUUUGGGAUGUAUUUGUCCAUCAGUCCUAAAAAUUGUCCCCUCCUCUUGUACUGAACAGACAUACAUUCAGAUCAUUGAUAAAUGUUGAGCUCAAUUGGAUGGCUUCUUUUUUUUGUUUGAUCUAUUUGUCACUUCUAUAAUGAAGGAAAUUCCAGGAAGAGAGUGCAUUCAUACUACUUAUGCUUCCCAUUCCAUGGCACUGAUUCUUAAGUGUUUAGGGCCAGCUUCAUGAGGAAUGCAUGUUAUAUUCAGAAUUAAGAAGGACUUGCUUGAGUUAGAGUACUUAACUCUUUUACUGUGUACAAGAUGCCAGGCCGCUUAAUAAAUUUCAAAUAUUAUUUUUAAUUCAAUGUUAUUGUUCAAAUACUUAACUAUCUUUUCAUUCACCCGAAGAUUCAGAAUCAGCAAAUAAAAGAAUUUACCAUUGUCAUCUUGAGAAGUUUGUUUACAUCUAACAGAAGUAAUGGCUACCACAUCAUAACGAUGUCACCACAACCUGAAAAACAAAACAAUAUCUUACAUCUUACAAGAGAAAAUAUAUAUAUAUUCCAAAAAACAGACUGGCUGCUAGUGUACAUCAUAUGUUUGCAAAGAUAUAUCUUUUGAAUAAUGUUAAGUAAGAUGAAUAUAAAUAAAAAUUUCUUCUUUCUGUCAGAAAAUUGUAUGUAAUGUUUUUCUUGUGCAUAGUUAACCUUAUUUUGAAGGCAUUCAAGGCAUGAUAAGUACAUAUGCAAUGCAGUCUGUCAUGUGUCAUCUUCAAGACCAAUGUAACGAAUGUGUAGAAUGUAAUCAGUCAGUUGGAAAUUUAAGCAGUGUCUUUUGCUUCUUCAAACAAUUUUUAGAUGAGGCAUUAGUAGCAAAUACUACUAUAUUUGGUGCAGAAUUUUAGACUGGAUACAAGUUUUGGGUUCAUGAAAGUAUGGUGUCUGUGGCAGUGUAUCUUGCAAGAGUAGUUACUCAUUUUCAGUAAUUUGCAUCUGAACAAUUUUUUGGUAUUCAUGGAAGUUGUAAUAUAAUAAUGACUUAUAGCUCUUUAUGGUAAAUGGCUUAGGGAGUUGCAUGUCUGCAGUCUCAUUAAUUACAUUCAAGUGCUAGAAUUUAUUAGACAUUAAUUCAGCUUUGAGAAUAUCAUAAAUGUUCUGGUUUGACAGGUUAACACAUUUACUGUUUAGCAUGGUUGUACCAUACAUGAUAUUGCGUGAACAUAUAAACGUUAAAGAGAGCUAUGAUAUUACUUUGUAUGCUCAGUUUAGUAUGAACACACAAGUUUGACUUUUGUUUUGAUGUUAACUGUUUAGAUAGUGGUAAAUUGUUUAAACUUACAUGGAAGAUAUGAACCACAUUAAGAAAAUAUCUACAAUAUUUUUGUGUCUGUAUCUAAGGUGACGGGUGGAAAUUAUCAUUUUUUGAGGUUGAGCUAAAAAUUUAAGAAUAUUUCUUUGAGCACCUUGACAGCUAGUGUCACUCCUUAUUGAUAAACUUCCAGUUUAUCUCAGAAUCUGAAUCUGUUAAGUUUGUUAGUACAGCUGCUUGAUUUAUCUUUCAUAAUAAUUUCUAUCAUAGUUUGUUCAUUAUUUACAUUGCUGUAUUAUGUUUACAGUAUUCACAAAUCUAUCCUUACCAAUAGAAAUUUAUUUUUUCUUUGUUAUUUGUUUGUGUAAUAGUGGUGCAUGUUGAGAUUAGCGUAAAUGGAAACUAGUACCCUGUCAUCUGUGUUUUGUGUACUUGCUGCACACAAGCAGUGCCAUAGUGCCUCAGAAACAGUGCAUUGAAAAGCUAUAGGUAGAUAGGUAUGUGACAGAACACAUCAUGUGCCUUAAUGUAACCUUAUCACUAACAAGAACUCCACUCAUUUUCAAAAGGAGUUCAUUCAGUCCCUGCAAUUUCCACUGCUCUUGCACCAAACAAAAGUUUGACAUUAAAUGCACUGAAAAUACUAAUUGCCUGCACAUUUACAUGUUUAGUAACUGAUGAUUGGUAUUUAGAAACAAAAUAUGGGUGUAAGAAGCUUGUUUCAAUUAAAUUAGAGGUACAUUGGGACUAAGAAAAGGAUAAGUGUAAGAACAAAUUUAAAUUUAGCCAACAUUUGUCAGAGUCUAUUUUAUUAUUUCUAAUGAAUAUUGUAACUUAAACUUUCCUCUUCUUAGUCCUGUGCAGGCAUUAAAAAUGUUUAUCAAUCAUAUUUGAAGGCAUUGUAAGCUUUUUAUUAUGCCUAUUGUGGUUUUCAUUCUCAUUGUAGAUCUGGUUCAAUACAGCUACUGUAGUUAUUGUUCUGCCUGUUUGACUUCUUUCUAUUUUGACUUUGGUUGUUUUUCUGUUUUUGUAUAAAGUUAUUGAUACAAAAUUUACAGUGAAUUUCUGUUAGGUUUUGUGUCAUUAUUUAAUUGAAAAUAUUAUAGUAAUAAAUCUUUUUAUUAUGA